AGUGGGGAAUAUUGGACAAUGGGCGAAAGCCUGAUCCAGCAAUGCCGCGUGAGUGAUGAAGGCCUUAGGGUUGUAAAGCUCUUUUACCCGGGAUGAUAAUGACAGUACCGGGAGAAUAAGCUCCGGCUAACUCCGUGCCAGCAGCCGCGGUAAUACGGAGGGAGCUAGCGUUGUUCGGAAUUACUGGGCGUAAAGCGCGCGUAGGCGGCUUUGUAAGUUAGAGGUGAAAGCCCGGGGCUCAACCCCGGAAUUGCCUUUAAGACUGCAUCGCUUGAAUCCGGGAGAGGUGAGUGGAAUUCCGAGUGUAGAGGUGAAAUUCGUAGAUAUUCGGAAGAACACCAGUGGCGAAGGCGGCUCACUGGACCGGUAUUGACGCUGAGGUGCGAAAGCGUGGGGAGCAAA
This 402-nucleotide ribosomal RNA is filed under the name uncultured bacterium. RNAcentral describes it as "bacterial SSU rRNA". It matches the Rfam family "Bacterial small subunit ribosomal RNA", at positions 353 to 772 of the family's 1533-position model. The record is from RNAcentral.